Molecule: long non-coding RNA, 378 nt
Filed under: Ananas comosus (pineapple)
Lineage: Eukaryota; Viridiplantae; Streptophyta; Magnoliopsida; Poales; Bromeliaceae
Description: long non-coding RNA (ACOM_LNC004501)
Source: RNAcentral
AAUUGUUGUGGUUCAUUUUAAUACGCAAUUUAUUUUUGUACAUUAUUGGUUAUUUUGUUGAAUUGAUACUGAUGUUUUUUUAUUUAUCUGUUGGUGUAAAUAUUCAAAAAAUAGAGGUUAGCUACAAAAUAAUUUAAAAAAUAUCAACGAGUCGAUCAAGCCGAGGCACGGAUAUCUCGCUCUCUUUAAGGAGAUUCAAGCCCUCUGCGGUUGGCAAAGCCUUUGAACCGAUGCAGCAGAGCACCGACUUGUCCCCUCCAGGAUACAACGGCUCGACCCUCGUCGUGUGGCUUCACCAACUCUGCACAAGUAGAUGAGCCCAAAGCUCCACCAAAAGAACACCUUUCUUUGACCUUCUCUCUCUCUCAAGUAUAAUNN